This is a non-coding RNA of Pelobates cultripes (western spadefoot toad), 255 nucleotides long. The record is from the annotation of a GenBank genome assembly. Lineage: Eukaryota; Metazoa; Chordata; Amphibia; Anura; Pelobatidae.
UGUGACAAACUCUCCUCUCCAAGUGAGUUUGCCACGAGCUCCUGGAGGAGACUGCUUGCCAGCCUCCUGCCCACAGACAAUGGGCCCUGCAGGGAAACCUGUAAAAGACUACCAAACUUGACCGUCCGUUAGCACCGAUUUCAUAGAACUGUUUUGGGCAUAGGACAAUGUCCACGGUAGGUCAAAAUUAUGACUUCCAGGAAAUUCCUGAACCCCUGAACUGAUCUGGGUGAUUUUUGUAUAUGUUGGUCACCC